Molecule: long non-coding RNA, 595 nt
Filed under: Cricetulus griseus (Chinese hamster)
Lineage: Eukaryota; Metazoa; Chordata; Mammalia; Rodentia; Cricetidae
Description: lncRNA (ENSCGRG00015035986.1)
Source: RNAcentral
CCGGCGCCGCGGGAGCCCUACGCUGUGCUCACGCGCUGCUCCUCGGGCUACCCUGGAAUCCUGCUGCCCUUUCCUAUUUCUAAAACGCCAUUGGGCUGGAAGCUGCCUCGAGUGGCCUCUGACCCUAGAGCCGUCUUAGAAAAACCGGAUACUCUGUACUGGGGAAGAGAAGCGAUCCUCACUGGCUCGCGGGGAUGUUAGCGACAGAUUUGUGGACGGAACUGUCCUCGGUAUCUUCAGAUAGGAAUCUGAAUCCAGAAGAGAAAAAGGCAGCUGCCCGAGUUUCCAAGAGCUUCCUGAUUGAUAGGUUCCAACUUUUCGGGUCACUGGAGUGCUUUCUGUUUUCCUACCAGCACACUAUGUUAAAUAGCCUAGUGAUACGGGAUUGACCCUUGACAGUUAAGGAUGACUUCUGGGAGAAUGCCAAGUGCUACAAAAUUAAGUGAACGAGACAGGUAUGGACCAGACUAGUCAGCUGGACUGAACAAAUGGAGGAAACCACAACAGAUGCAUUUUGAGAUGCUGGAUCAUCUGAAUCAUUUGUCUUCCUUGGUGUCUGGACCACUUGUUCUGAAAAUAAAUCAACUUUUAAAGG